Acanthopagrus latus (yellowfin seabream) is the source of this 394-nucleotide long non-coding RNA. RefSeq lists it as uncharacterized. The record is from RefSeq and is a predicted model, not a curated record. The transcript is spliced from 2 exons. Lineage: Eukaryota; Metazoa; Chordata; Actinopteri; Spariformes; Sparidae.
GUGAAAUCGCCGGCAGGACUUAGCUAGCGCCCGAGCUACCCCGCUGCUACUGCCAGCGUCCCCUGUUUAUAUCGCAGGGAUGCUCCGGUCCGUCAGAAAUAAAGCCAGAAGAAUCGGCCUUUAUUCCGGUUUCACAUCCAGGUUAUGGAGCGAGGCUGGGUGGAGCCAGGGAGGAGCUGACAUCAGAUCUGAUUCCUGAGCAGUGCUGCUGGUUUGUUUGUGACAUUCGCCCAACUUUUCAGUGAGAACAUCACAGCUGGUCGUUGUUUUUAAUUUUUUUAAUUUUUCUUGAAAAAUAACACAAAUAACAUAACGUGAAAAAGGCUUCUGAAAAUAAUUACAAUGCUACAGGAUUCCCGUUUUGAUACUCGAAAAGAGGAAAAAAAAAAAAAAA